RNAcentral lists this long non-coding RNA (1386 nucleotides) under Homo sapiens (human). RNAcentral's name for it is "HSALNT0245732". The record is from RNAcentral. Lineage: Eukaryota; Metazoa; Chordata; Mammalia; Primates; Hominidae.
GGCUGCCUCAGCCCACUCAGGACAGCUCUGAGGGCUGCCCUGGCCAGGCUCUCCCGCAGCCGCUCCAGCGUCCGCCUCCAUUGUUCCUCAAUAACCAUCCUGCAGACUCAGCCUGCUGCCUGGGAAACCAAACCCGCAACACACAGAGGGUGACGGUAAAGCUGUAAUUUAGAAACCAAUGGGCAGUAAACCAGAUCAGAAAUAAAAGCUCCCCAUCAGCUGGAAACCCAAACUCAUUCCAAUCUCACAACCAAGGCUCACUCCCUCCAAAUGCCCACUAUGGAGGACCACAGAGAUCGAGGCUUCCCGGGGAGCCGUUCGAGAUUCUGUCUCCCAUGUUCUUGAGGUUCCUAAACCCCUAAACCAGGACACCGCACACCCGGGACGCCACCGUAGGAUAGAGGGGGUUUGUCCUAAAGAAACACUGUCACGUCAGACAUGGGAUGGCCUGGCGCAAAAGAAUGCACCACAGCUUAAGUGACACCGAAGAUGCAAAAGCCAGUGUCCCAGGAUGCGGAGUAAGGGCACCCAGACACCGAUGCUCAGAAUAUCUCAGAGACACACCUGCAUCACCCCAGAGACGCUGGAAGCCACAGAGUGCACACAGAUGGCUUUCUUACCCACCGUGCAUGGCCUGCCCCAGCAAAAGGGGCCGGCUGAGUUUCCGGGGCAGCAGAUGAAGAAACCUCGGCUCUCAGAGAGGGAAAUCAGAGCCAGCGUUUCGCCAUGUUGACCAGGCUGGUCUGGAACUCCUGACCUCAUGUGAUCCACCCGUCUCGGCCUCCCAAAGUGCUGGGAUUACAGGCGUGAGCCACCGCGUGCCCAGACAACUCCUGCUGCCUCUUCACCUCUAAUGUUUCCCAUCUCAUCUCCGAAGAGCAGCCAAGCAGAAGCUCAAAAGAACCGCUCCAGCUCCCCCCUGCUCCCAGGACCUGCUCAGACCCGGGGGGAUGUCAUGGCCCGGAUCUGUCUGUCUUGUCUACAGGUAGAGGGCGGCUUAUCUGUCCCCAGUAGACCCUGUCUGUACCCCUCUCACCCCAUGAGACCCUACCUCGGCCUCUCCUUCUCGCUGAGACAUCUCCUCCCUCCCUGGUCCUCCACCUUCAGGUCCUCACGGCUGAGAGCCCCUGGCAGCUCCGGGAAUUAUCGGGCGGCAUCCUGACUCCCGCCUUGCUCCUCAGACCCCUCCCCACACCCUGGCCCAUUCCGGGUACAAGGGCGACUUGGUUGCCUUCAUUAUAGACUAUAGCACAAAAACACAAUAAAAUAAAAUGAAUGUUUUCUCCGCGAAAAUCCAUUAGAUGAGUUACUGUUGUAAUUUAAUAAUGGGAUGGGAAACUACAGCAAGUUACCGAAGUAUAUAAUUAAAGUAAAUCUAUUUUAAAG